GGAUGGCUGCAGCUCACUGGCAGAGCAUUUGCUUGGCAUGCAAAAAGUCCUAGGCUGAAUCCCUAGCACCUCCA
This is a non-coding RNA of Podarcis lilfordi (Lilford's wall lizard), 74 nucleotides long. Lineage: Eukaryota; Metazoa; Chordata; Lepidosauria; Squamata; Lacertidae. The record is from the annotation of a GenBank genome assembly.